GUGGGGAAUCUUAGACAAUGGGGGCAACCCUGAUCUAGCCAUGCCGCGUGAGUGAUGAAGGCCUUAGGGUCGUAAAGCUCUUUCGCUGGGGAAGAUAAUGACGGUACCCAGUAAAGAAACCCCGGCUAACUCCGUGCCAGCAGCCGCGGUAAUACGGAGGGGGUUAGCGUUGUUCGGAAUUACUGGGCGUAAAGCGCGCGUAGGCGGAUUGGAAAGUUGGGGGUGAAAUCCCGGGGCUCAACCCUGGAAUGGCCUUCAAAACUCCCAGUCUUGAGGUCGAGAGAGGUGAGUGGAAUUCCGAGUGUAGAGGUGAAAUUCGUAGAUAUGCGGGGGAACACCAGUGGCGAAGGCGGCUCACUGGCUCGAUACUGACGCUGAGGUGCGAAAGCGUGGGGAGCAAACAGGAUUAGAAACCCCAGUAGUCC
Molecule: ribosomal RNA, 425 nt
Filed under: uncultured bacterium
Lineage: Bacteria
Description: partial 16S ribosomal RNA
Rfam family: Bacterial small subunit ribosomal RNA
Source: RNAcentral